Long non-coding RNA from Acanthochromis polyacanthus (spiny chromis), 966 nucleotides. RefSeq lists it as uncharacterized. The record is from RefSeq and is a predicted model, not a curated record. NCBI's taxonomy places the organism in Eukaryota, Metazoa, Chordata, Actinopteri, Pomacentridae. The transcript has 3 exons.
GUUGAAACGCGACUGCAGCUGAGUUCCCGGUGGAGAUUUCCCCGUUUGGAAACCUUUUUUUCCCCUUCCACUUGUCGUGACUUCGCCUCAUUUAAGCCGCGACGAUGAAGACUUCAGCCAGACUUUAACGCUUUUAUCCCGCUGAACACGUCACACCCGGAGGAUUGAGAGAUAAUUUCCCACAUCUGCUGGAGGGUAGCGUCAGCCCUUUAUCCACAAUGUCCUCCAGAGGUAAAAAUGACCUGUGCCGAAUAUGUGGUGGAGCUCUCCAGGGAAACCAGCGGCGGUGGCUGUUUGGGGGCCAGAAUAAGAAGACCAGCCACCUUCAGACCCAAACAGAGUCCCUGAGAGGAGGAAGCCGAUCUCAGUCCUUGCAGAGCAGCCCCUGGGGCAGCACAUUAUCUCUGGGUUCCUCAGGAUCGCUCUCCAAGUCCCAGUUAUCAGUGAACUCGCCAUCCAAAAGCGUGGAUGUGCUCGCGGUGUUGACCCACAUCCUGGGGCAGUCUGUACCACGGGGCAGCAGGCAGGGGGAGUUUGUUUGCGGCAAAUGCGUGAGCGCCCUCGAGCGGGUGUUCAAGUUUGACUCGGUCAUAGCAAGGGUGAGGGUGCUUUCGUCUGAGCGGCUUCAGAAGCUGACGCAGGAGAGGGAUAAGAUCAGGCAGUGGGUGCGCCACAACUACCAGCAGAGACACCUGCAGAAUGUUCCAAACAGGGGUAGCACCAGCGAAGAGGAUGGCGAGGCAGAGAAGGAGGGCUACAGGGAGAUGCUCAAAGAGAAUAUGGCGCUCUCUGAGUAUGAGUGCUGGUCUGAGAAAUGGGACACGUGUCCAUACUUUAUAAGAACGGGUAAAAGAUGCAGAAAGGGCAAAGGAUGCGAAGGAUGCGAUUCCUUGCGGGUGUCGGACUCAGAUUACGAGUCAGUUUGUGGGGUCCCUCGUCAUUUACCUUUCCAACCUUUUUCUCCAC